Molecule: ribosomal RNA, 375 nt
Filed under: uncultured organism
Description: bacterial SSU rRNA
Rfam family: Bacterial small subunit ribosomal RNA
Source: RNAcentral
CGGAGGGUGCGAGCGUUGUCCGGAAUCAUUGGGCGUAAAGGGCGCGUAGGUGGCCCGGUCAGUCUUUGGUGAAAGCGCGGGGCUCAACCCUGCGUCGGCCAGGGAUACUGCCGCGGCUCGAGCACUGUAGAGGCAGGCGGAAUUCCGGGUGUAGCGGUGGAAUGCGUAGAGAUCCGGAAGAACACCGGUGGCGAAGGCGGCCUGCUGGGCAGUUUUGCUGACACUGAGGCGCGACAGCGUGGGGAGCAAACAGGAUUAGAUACCCUGAUAGUCCACGCCGUAAACGAUGGGCACUAGGCGCUUGGGGGAGCGACCCCCCGAGGGCCGGCGCUAACGCAUUAAGUGCCCCGCCUGGGGAGUACGGCCGCAAGGCUG